RNAcentral lists this long non-coding RNA (575 nucleotides) under Equus caballus (horse). Its description in RNAcentral is "lncRNA (ENSECAG00000033260.2)". The record is from RNAcentral. Lineage: Eukaryota; Metazoa; Chordata; Mammalia; Perissodactyla; Equidae.
CACUAAGGUUUCUGCUCACUGUGACCUUGAAUUGCACUCUGUCCCCUCCCCUGACCUCUGGCUUUCUCUGCACAGUUUCAGUCCAACCUUCCUGAGAUAGAAGGUGUGAUUGGCUAUGUCAGUCACCCUUCAGUAGAGAUCAUCCCUGACCAGUGUGUGGCUUUGUGCACACUAGUCCUUCUUGGCCUGGGUGCCUGGCCUAGACUGCACAGCUGUGACUACACAAUGGGGAGCAGAGCAGCCCACAUCUCCCCCUCAGAAGGGCACUGGGGAGUGGCAGCCUUCUGAAGCUGGCACCUCGUAACCACAGGCCCUGCCUGGAGCUUCCCCGGUCAGUCCAGGAGGUGAGCACCUGGAUGAGGGAUGGACAGUGAGCCCAGGGUCAGCCAACGUGUCCUGUCCAUCAGUCCCUGUGCCAUCAGCUCAUUUGUGUUCCUCUGUGCACUGGCACCAGGAAUAAAUGUGAAGGGCCAGAGUGAGGCAUCUGAACAGCCACAACUGUUAUCACCUCUGUACAUGCGAUUCUGCAGGUCCACUCAUUCAGAGUCUGGGCUGGCCUCUUGACUUGCUUUGAC